UUUAAUCUCGAUUGCUCUUACGAAUUUAAUUUUUCGGGUAUUGAAGGGUAAGUAUUUCUAUGGAAUUUGUUUUUUUUAAGGGUGGUGUUUAUAGGUUGAUUAUUUAUUUUUAAGGCUUGGGUUAACCUCUUGAAAUCUGUGUUGUUAGAUAAUAGUCAAGGAAUUUGGAACUCUCAUUCUGUGAGCUAGUUAUCUUAAAGGCUGCUGUGGAUGUUGGGUAAGUUUUGAACACCUAAGAGUUCGAUUUUUGUGUUAGAAUUGUUUAUGUUGUGUUGUAGUCGAGUGGGUUGUUUUGGUAAAUUGAGGAAUUGGAACUGAUUUGGGGCGAUUUAUUAUUGAUUUUAGGUGUUGGAUAUUGCGUUGUUGUUUUCGCAUCAAAAUCGAACCAGGUGUGUAACGAGAAACCUGAAAAUCAGCGAACGGCGAAAGCUG
This 432-nucleotide long non-coding RNA is filed under the name Gossypium raimondii (Peruvian cotton). RNAcentral's name for it is "long non-coding RNA (GRAI_LNC001232)". Lineage: Eukaryota; Viridiplantae; Streptophyta; Magnoliopsida; Malvales; Malvaceae. The record is from RNAcentral.